GCCAGCAGCCAUAUCAUGCUGUAACACACAAUGUAUAUCCACUGAAGCUCAGCAGGUGUGAGCCUGGUCAGUACCUGGAUAGGAGACCUCCUGGGAAAAACUAUGGUUGCUGCUGAAA
RNAcentral lists this ribosomal RNA (118 nucleotides) under Lepisosteus oculatus (spotted gar). Lineage: Eukaryota; Metazoa; Chordata; Actinopteri; Semionotiformes; Lepisosteidae. The record is from RNAcentral.